Molecule: long non-coding RNA, 654 nt
Filed under: Durio zibethinus
Lineage: Eukaryota; Viridiplantae; Streptophyta; Magnoliopsida; Malvales; Malvaceae
Description: long non-coding RNA (DZIB_LNC000704)
Source: RNAcentral
GCCUGCAAAUACAAGAAUAAAGCAGGCAUCAGCAUUUGUGUAGUUAUAACAAACAAUUAACAAAACACAUGCCUAGAAAUUCUAUAGCAUCAAAAGGUAAAACCAAGCCAGUACGUGACAGAAAAUAGAACCAUUUUCAAAUUGUCAUUAACUCAUUAUGAUAAUUGUCUUCAUAAAAAACUUGUAAUCCAAUGUCUAAAGAUUUCAUAGUAAGAAAAUAAAACAAGCUAGUACAUGACAGAAAAUUGAAUCAUUGUCAAAUUGUCAUUCUGAUAAUUGUCUUUGUAAAAAAACUUGAAAUUCAAUAUCAUAGUAAGAAAAUAAACCAAAAUAAAGCAGGCAUCAGCAUUUGUGUAGUUAUAACAAACAAUUAACAAAACACAUGCCUAGAAAUUCUAUAGCAUCAAAAGGUAAAACCAAGCCAGUACGUGACAGAAAAUAGAACCAUUUUCAAAUUGUCAUUAACUCAUUAUGAUAAUUGUCUUCAUAAAAAACUUGUAAUCCAAUGUCUACAGAUUUCAUAGUAAGAAAAUAAAACAAGCUAGUACAUGACAGAAAAUUGAAUCAUUGUCAAAUUGUCAUUCUGAUAAUUGUCUUUGUAAAAAAACUUGAAAUUAAAUAUCAUAGUAAGAAAAUAAACCAAACCUAUAAACA